GACAGAGGGUGCAAACGUUGUUCGGAAUUACUGGGCGUAAAGCGCGUGUAGGCGGCUAAGUAAGUCGGGCGUGAAAUCCCACGGCUCAACCGUGGAAGUGCACUCGAAACUGCAUAGCUAGAGUCCUGGAGAGGAAGGUGGAAUGCUUGGUGUAGAGGUGAAAUUCGUAGAUAUCAAGCGGAACACCGGUGGCGAAGGCGGCCUUCUGGACAGUGACUGACGCUGAGACGCGAAAGCGUGGGGAGCAAACAUG
This 253-nucleotide ribosomal RNA is filed under the name uncultured bacterium. RNAcentral's name for it is "partial 16S ribosomal RNA". It matches the Rfam family "Bacterial small subunit ribosomal RNA", at positions 524 to 776 of the family's 1533-position model. The record is from RNAcentral.